This 467-nucleotide ribosomal RNA is filed under the name uncultured bacterium. RNAcentral's name for it is "partial 16S ribosomal RNA". It matches the Rfam family "Bacterial small subunit ribosomal RNA", at positions 28 to 506 of the family's 1533-position model. The record is from RNAcentral.
GACGAACGCUGGCGGCGUGCUUAACACAUGCAAGUCGAACGGAAAGGCCCUGCUUUUGUGGGGUGCUCGAGUGGCGAACGGGUGAGUAACACGUGAGUAACCUGCCCUUGACUUUGGGAUAACUUCAGGAAACUGGGGCUAAUACCGGAUAGGAGCUCCUGCUGCAUGGUGGGGGUUGGAAAGUUUCGGCGGUUGGGGAUGGACUCGCGGCUUAUCAGCUUGUUGGUGGGGUAGUGGCUUACCAAGGCUUUGACGGGUAGCCGGCCUGAGAGGGUGACCGGGGCCACUGGGGGAGUGAGACGGGGCAGACACCGCCGGGAGGGGGCAGGGGGGGAAAUUUCGCACAGGGGGCGGACGCGUGGUGGCGACGCCCCGCGCGGGGUAUGGGGCUUCUGGGGUUGAAACGCUCUUUCCCGUGAGGCGAGGCGUGGGUGACGGAUGGGGGAAAAGACACCCGCGAAACCCAC